CCUACGGGUGGCAGCAGUGAGGAAUAUUGGUCAAUGGACGAGAGUCUGAACCAGCCAAGUAGCGUGAAGGAUGACUGCCCUAUGGGUUGUAAACUUCUUUUAUAUGGGAAUAAAAUGUUCCACGUGUGGGAUUUUGUAUGUACCAUAUGAAUAAAGGUAGGAUAACUCCGUGCCAGCAGCCGCGGUAAUACGGAGGAUACGAGGGUUAUCCGGAUUUAUUGGGUUUAAAGGGAACGUAGGUGGAUUGUUAAGUCAGUUGUGAAAGUUUGAGGCUCAACCGUAAAAUUGCAGUUGAAACUGGCAGUCUGGAGUGCAGUAGAGGUGGGCGGAAUUCGUGGUGUAGCGGUGAAAUGCUUAGAUAUCACGAAGAACUCCGAUUGCGAAGGCAGCUCACUGGACUGCAACUGACACUGAGGCUCGAAAGUGUGGGUAUCAAACAGGAUUAGAUACCCUUGUAGUC
This 460-nucleotide ribosomal RNA is filed under the name uncultured bacterium. RNAcentral's name for it is "partial 16S ribosomal RNA". It matches the Rfam family "Bacterial small subunit ribosomal RNA", at positions 338 to 795 of the family's 1533-position model. The record is from RNAcentral.